UGUAGCAGUCGGCAUACAGCAUCUGGAACCUGCAGGGGAGAGAACAGGACAUGUCCUGGCUCCUGCGAUUCCACGCUAGCGGAUGCUGCUGCACUCUGCCCAGAUGCCUCCUCCAGAGAGCUGCCUGCUCCCCAGCAGCGGGGAGUGUUGGAGGCCGGCACGCGGGCAGGACUGCCCUUGGCAGAAGGGAGCUGCCUCGCCCAAGCUGCCGCCUCGGACAACAGAAAUCUUUCUCCUCUCUUCCACUCCUGCCCACCCCCA
This is a long non-coding RNA of Lemur catta (Ring-tailed lemur), 261 nucleotides long. RefSeq lists it as uncharacterized. The transcript is spliced from 3 exons. The record is from RefSeq and is a predicted model, not a curated record. Lineage: Eukaryota; Metazoa; Chordata; Mammalia; Primates; Lemuridae.